GAAGGAAAAAAAGGGAAAAGCGGAAAAAAAGGAAAGUGAAUAUAUGUGUAUCACAUCGAUCAUACGUUAUUCGCUAAUCUAUACGUAUACGUUACUAUAUUUUUCAAUUU
Molecule: non-coding RNA, 110 nt
Filed under: Fragilariopsis kerguelensis
Lineage: Eukaryota; Bacillariophyta; Bacillariophyceae; Bacillariales; Bacillariaceae
Source: RNAcentral